Molecule: ribosomal RNA, 468 nt
Filed under: uncultured bacterium
Lineage: Bacteria
Description: partial 16S ribosomal RNA
Rfam family: Bacterial small subunit ribosomal RNA
Source: RNAcentral
GACGAACGCUGGCGGCGUGCUUAACACAUGCAAGUCGAACGGAAAGACCCUGCUUUUGUGGGGUGCUCGAGUGGCGAACGGGUGAGUAACACGUGAGUAACCUUCCCUUGACUUUGUGAUAACUUCAGGAAACUGGGGCUAAUACCUGAUAGGAGCUCCUGCUGCAUGGUGGGGGUUGGAAAGUUUAGGCGGUUGGGGAUGGACUCGCGGCUUAUCAGCUUGUUGGUGGGGUAGUGGCUUACCAAGGCUUUGAUGGGUAGCCGGCCUGAGAGGUUGAACGGCAACAUUGGGACUGAGAUACGGACCAGACUCCUACGGGAGGCAGCAGUGGGGAAUAUUGCACAAUGGGCGGAAGCCUGAUGCAGCAACGCCGCGUGCGGGAUGACGGCCUUCGGGUUGUAAACCGCUUUCGCCUGUGACGAAGCGUGAGUGACGGUAAUGGGUAAAGAAGCACCGGCUAACUACGUG